ACAUAAGAUUAGCAUGUUAUAUAUAUUGUACAUGAUAAAUUGCUUUUAUCUACUGAGUAGUGUUAAUUCCGUUUUAUUUGUAGGUUGUGCUUGCUACUCGACUAUUCUCCAAAACAGAACAACCUUCAGUUCUCCUUCUUCAACUUUCAAGAAUACUUAGGAACGUUCUCUUUCAGCGUCAUAAGUGUUGGCGACAACAAAAGUGUGAGAUUUAAUUGGUACGUAACCCUUAGGAGUCAUGGUUACACAAGGCUUCCAUGCCUCCAACUCUGCCAUUUGUACUCACAAGGACAGUUUAAUAUAUCAGCCCUUCCAAUAUCAAUUCAAUGAACAAGGUAAGUAGUCUAAUUCGUUUGUUGUGGCAUGUUAAAUGCUAUUUCUAACUUCAUUGUAAUUUCACAACUAACAUGAUGACAAUUUAGAUAUUAUGUCCACCUUUAAUGGUAUAGAAACAUGGUCUACUCGCGUUCGUUUCUCUUCUGCAUUUCUCUUGCCCGAGUAGUUCCUCCAUGGCAAUGCUUCAGAUUUAACUCAGUUACUCAGCUUCUCCCCAUUUCUACUACUUGUGCAAAAAUAGUCAUGAGCCAGCCCCAGUCUUUUUACUGCCAAGCAAACAAAGUUGUUGAUGGAGCUCUUCUUAGUCUCAGCUGAGAACUUUGAUUGUAUGCAUUCACAGAGUCUGUCGAGAACGAGGUAUUUAUAAUUACAUAGGAAAUCAUGUGAGGGAAAACUUUAUUCGCAAAAAGGUUGAUCAAAGUAUAUCGAUUGUUGGGCAUGAAGACUGUUAAAGACAAAGCUGAUGGAGUAAAAAUAUCCACUCUUUAGUCCAAUGGAAAGUUCUGUUCACAUCAACAUUAUUUUUUUUAAUGAUGUAUUAUUUAAUUUAUACUGCAAAAUUGUAUCUAUAAAUAUUUAAAGUUAUGUUAUCAAUCAACUAUGUUAAUUUUGA
Long non-coding RNA from Solanum stenotomum, 949 nucleotides. RefSeq lists it as uncharacterized. The transcript is spliced from 4 exons. Lineage: Eukaryota; Viridiplantae; Streptophyta; Magnoliopsida; Solanales; Solanaceae. The record is from RefSeq and is a predicted model, not a curated record.